This is a long non-coding RNA of Neofelis nebulosa (Clouded leopard), 833 nucleotides long. RefSeq lists it as uncharacterized. NCBI's taxonomy places the organism in Eukaryota, Metazoa, Chordata, Mammalia, Carnivora, Felidae. The transcript has 3 exons. The record is from RefSeq and is a predicted model, not a curated record.
CUGGCAUUCAUGUCAUCAAUCAGCUGUGUGACCUGGGCCAGGUCACUUACCUUCCCCAGGCCUUAGUUACCCCUCCAUAAAAUGAGAAGCCUGGAGUAAAUGAUCUUUAAGGCCUCUUCCAACCCAGGUAUACGACUGUAGCCUAAUGCCAGGUAUAGACGUGGUAGGUGUUCAGGAAAUGUUUAUUUAGUAAUUUAACGAUAAGAUUCAAGGCAAGAUUCUGCAGGUCCCAGCACCCAUAUACUUCCUCACUAUGAGUUUUGCCUCUGCUGUUAGUUAAUUUGUGUCAAGUGCCAGCUCAACAGGUAUUAAACCAAGUUUCACAGGGAUGUUACACAUGCGAGAGCUUUGUGUCACAGCUGCGGAGCGCUGAGCUUGGGAAACCCACCGCUGUCCCCUCCUACCGCCGCUACUUUUAUCGUCCCCUGCUCACAGAGAUAGUUUGUGCGGCACAACUUCGUCAUCAGCCCUGCACCCAGAUUCGGCCGCCAGCUGCCCGUCCUCACUCCAGCCCUUCUCAAGACUGGUACCCUGAGAACAUUGAGAAUGUCCCUCCAGGAGCUGCUGAGGGAUGCUGAGAGGAAAGCCCCAGAAUUGGCACCAGAAGACCUAGUUUUGAGUCUUCACAUUGAUACUCGCUAGUUCUGUUUCUCUGAGCAAGUUACAUAACUUUUCUGGAUCCCUGUAAUAACAGCUGAGAAUAAAAUACGGGAAAGUAUAUAUAAGCACUUUGAAUAUGGACCUGGAGCCAGCCACGCCUGGGCUGCUCCGUCAGCUCCUUGAACAUGUUCACCUCCCUUAACCCUCUGAAUCCUGGGUUCCCCACCAGCAAA